Molecule: long non-coding RNA, 566 nt
Filed under: Volvox carteri
Lineage: Eukaryota; Viridiplantae; Chlorophyta; Chlorophyceae; Chlamydomonadales; Volvocaceae
Description: long non-coding RNA (VCAR_LNC004358)
Source: RNAcentral
UUUUUUUUUAAUUUUGAGUCUACUAAAUGAGGCCUUAGUCGCUAAAACAUCCGGCCCUAGGGCCGGAUAAUAAACGACGGGCGAAGAACUUCAUUACCCUUCGGUUCUUCCCCUAAAGGGGAACCCCUGUCAUCCCCUGUCCCCCUUUGUUCCCCUUUAGGGGAUGGGCAUCAUCGUCCCCUAAAGAGGAACCAAAGUCCCUACUUGUUCUUUAUUUUAAUGAUGACAACCCUUCGGUUCCCCUUUUUGUUACCCAUCCCCUAAAGUUCUUCAUCCCCUAAAGUUCCCCUUUAGGGGAAGAACUAAAGGGGAACUUUAGUUCCCCUUUAGGGGAAGAACUAAAGGGGAACUUUAGUUCCCCUUUANGGGACGAUGACUUUGGUUCAUCCCCUAAAGGGGAACCAAAGUCUUCCCCUAAAGGGGAAGAACACUAAAGGGGUUCCCCUUUAGGGGAACCCCUUGGGAUCCCCUAAAGGGAACCCCUAAAGUUCUUCCCCUAAAGGGUUGUCCCCUUUAGUUCUUCCCCGAAGGGGAACCCCUUCGUCUCCCCUUUGGGGAACACUNNN